This 620-nucleotide ribosomal RNA is filed under the name uncultured Acidobacteriota bacterium. Its description in RNAcentral is "bacterial SSU rRNA". It matches the Rfam family "Bacterial small subunit ribosomal RNA", at positions 8 to 643 of the family's 1533-position model. The record is from RNAcentral. Lineage: Bacteria; Pseudomonadati; Acidobacteriota.
AGAGUUUGAUCCUGGCUCAGAAUAAACGCUGGCGGCGUGCCUAACACAUGCAAGUCGAACGCGAAAGGUUGCUUCGGUGACCGAGUAGAGUGGCGAACGGGUGAGUAACGCAUGGGUGAUCUACCCUGAAGUGGGGGAUAACCAGCCGAAAGGCUGGCUAAUACCGCAUAAGCCGUAAUUUUCGUUAAUUACGGGAAAAGCUUUGGUUGCUUCAGGAGGAGCCCGCGUCGGAUUAGCUAGUAGGUGAGGUAAUGGCUCACCUAGGCUGCGAUCUGUAGCCGGUCUGAGAGGACGUACGGCCACACUGGGACUGAGACACGGCCCAGACUCCUACGGGAGGCAGCAGUGGGGAAUUUUGGGCAAUGGGGGAAACCCUGACCCAGCAACGCCGCGUGAAGGAUGAAGAUCUUCGGGUCGUAAACUUCUGUCCGGAGGGACGAAGCAAGUGACGGUACCUCUGGAGGAAGCCCCGGCUAACUCCGUGCCAGCAGCCGCGGUAAUACGGGGGGGGCAAGCGUUGUUCGGAAUUACUGGGCGUAAAGGGCGCGUAGGCGGCUUCGGAAGUCAUGGGUGAAAGCCCCGGGCUCAACCUGGGAAUUGCCUGUGAAACCACGGAGCUG